Molecule: unclassified non-coding RNA, 203 nt
Filed under: Hevea brasiliensis (rubber tree)
Lineage: Eukaryota; Viridiplantae; Streptophyta; Magnoliopsida; Malpighiales; Euphorbiaceae
Source: RNAcentral
GAUUAAUUUGUGAUUGAUUCGAAAAGCUUCAACUGUAACUCAUUUAGUAGGAUUUUGAUGUAAACCUAAAUUAACCCAAUAAGGUGUUACCUACAGCUAGAAAUUCUGCUUGUUGUAAUGAACUGAAAUCAUCAAAUUUACUGUAACACUGGAUGACGAGGAAAGCUGACCAUUUUUUUAUACCAAAAGGUAUCUCGUGCGAG